Acanthosepion pharaonis is the source of this 111-nucleotide non-coding RNA. The record is from the annotation of a GenBank genome assembly. NCBI's taxonomy places the organism in Eukaryota, Metazoa, Mollusca, Cephalopoda, Sepiida, Sepiidae.
CGAACAUAUUACGUUGAAAUACUAGUUCCGUAUGAUCACCGAAGUUAAGCAACGUCGAGCCUGGUCGGUACCGAGAUGGGUGACCACUUGGAAAUAUUAGGUGCUGUAAGC